RNAcentral lists this transfer RNA (70 nucleotides) under Ips sexdentatus. RNAcentral's name for it is "tRNA-Gly". Lineage: Eukaryota; Metazoa; Arthropoda; Insecta; Coleoptera; Curculionidae. The record is from RNAcentral.
ACUUAAGUAUUAUAAGAAUUAUAUUUAACUUCCAAUUAAAAAAUCUAGAAAUUUCCAUCUAGCUUAAGUA